This 460-nucleotide ribosomal RNA is filed under the name uncultured bacterium. Its description in RNAcentral is "partial 16S ribosomal RNA". It matches the Rfam family "Bacterial small subunit ribosomal RNA", at positions 338 to 795 of the family's 1533-position model. The record is from RNAcentral.
CCUACGGGUGGCAGCAGUGAGGAAUAUUGGUCAAUGGGCGCGAGCCUGAACCAGCCAAGUAGCGUGAAGGAUGACUGUCCUACGGGUUGUAAACUUCUUUUGUCAAGGAAUAAAGUGAGGCACGCGUGCCUUUCUGUGUGUACUUUAUGAAUAAGGAUCGGCUAACUCCGUGCCAGCAGCCGCGGUAAUACGGAGGAUUCGAGCGUUAUCCGGAUUUAAUGGGUUUAAAGGGUGGGGAGAGGGGAUGUUAAGUCAGGUGUGAAAGUUUGGGGCUCAACCGUUAAAGUGCCUGUGAUACUGGCAGUCUUGAGUACGGUUGAGGUAGGCGGAAUGCGUGGUGUAGCGGUGAAAUGCUUAGAUAUCACGAAGAACUCCGAUUGCGAAGGCAGCAUACCAAACUGCCACUGACAUUGAUGCUCGAAAGUGUGGGUAUCAAACAGGAUUAGAUACCCUAGUAGUC